AAUAAUACAAAGAACAAUAAUACAAAGACAAAGCCAAAUAUGGACCCAAAAGAACAAUAAUUCUCUUUGAAUUUUUCACCCACAUGUUGUUGUCUCUUUGUGUAAGCUGCAUCUUUACUUUGAUGAAGCUUUGAAUUUUUCACCCGUGACUAUCUUUUCACUUUAUGUCUCCACAACACACUUUGAACACUGAAAUACAAAGAUAUAAGUUUAAAAGCCAGGUCAAUAAAGAUUCUCCUCAAACAUUAGAACAUUACACAUAAAGGUUACUUCUAAACCAUCUCCAAAAAACAUUAGAACAUUACACAUAACAAACACAUCUAACACAUAACAGACAAUUCUAAAACUGAAAUAUAACAGACACAAACAUGAUUUUGAAAAUCAUAAAAAUAACAGACACCUAACAGACACAUAACAGUUACAAACAUGACCAUGUAACAAGUUCCAAGUCACUGAUUCUGCAUCAUUUCGGAGAUUAGCUGCAUCUUCAGAGCUUCUUCUUCUUCACAAAGAGGUCCCUUCGCAAUAAGGGAAUCAAGAAGAGCAAUCUUUUGGGUUUCUUUUUUCAAAACCAGUUCUUCUCUUUUCAUACCCCACAUGUUGCUGAACACAUUAACAGCCUCAACCACGUCGACCUUUUUGCCUUUAGCCUUUGCGGCUUUAACACCAGGAGGUCUGACCAUUCCCUGAUUAGCUGCACCAUUCUUGUUUCCAUCUUCAUUCCCCUCUGCAUUUCCAUCAUCGGGUCUCCUCCUUUUACAGCUUGCAUUGGUUUUAAUGGCUGACAAAUCACACCAUUUCUGAUCGUUCUUCAGCUCCUUCCAAGCGUGUUCCAUACUGAAUUUUUUCUUAUGGAUAUUGAAGAAAAUAGCAUGGGCAUUUUUGAGAAUGUCAUUCUCGUUUUGACUGCUAGUUUUUUCUCUUGUUGCAGCCUCAUAAGCCUCACAGAACUUGCACACAAGAUCAUUAAUCUUGUGCCAUCUUUGUUUGCAUUCUCCUGCCUCUCGGACUUCUCCUCCGUUUUGACUCGCUGCGAAAUACAAAGCUAUGCGACUCCAGAAAGUUCCAUUUUUCUGUUCAUUUGCUACAACCGGGUCCUUCGAGGUGUUUAACCACGCGCUGAUGAGAAGGGUAUCUUCCGCAGGGCUCCAAGGUCGUCUUAUCACCUUGCUCGUCACUCCAACUUCUUCUUCUUCAUCGAUGGAAGCUUGGGUACCAAAGGCAUGGUUUUCGAAUGAAGGAUAUGGAUUUGGGUAAGGGUUUACACUCUCUUGUUGACUUUGUAAAAGAUCAACAAAGUUUGAGGGGUUGUUAAAUGGGAAGCGAGAAGACAUAAUGGUUGAAUAGAAAGUGUUAACAACGAGAGAACAGAAAGAUAGAAUAGAAAGAGAGAACAGGUUGUGAGCUUUGAAGAGAAUUUGACUAAGAUGAAUAGAAAGUGAUGAGAACGAGAGAACAGAAAGAGAGAAUAGAAAGAGAGAACAGGUUGUGAGCUUUGAAGACAAUUUGACUAAGAUGAAAGAAAUGCGAAAAAGAGAAGAAUUUAUAAAAGCAUGAAGAACCACAAACAAGAAGCAUUCAUCAUUCUACGCCUACCUUAAACACAACCAUAUACAAGAAGCAUUCAUCACAAGGGUUUAGACUUGACUAGACAGAUAUCUACCUUCUACAUUAACUAAUCCCUUAUUCCAUUUAUUAUCUAACACUACCUAAACCCAUUUAAUACAACUACCUAAUAAGUGAUUGUACCUUACCUUUUCAGGAUAGUGAAGAUGGAUAGCUUUAUGCAGAUGUGCUUCUUCUCUCCUCUUCCUGUCAUUCCGCAACAUUCACUCGUCGUGCAUAGAACAAAGGCGACAAUAAAUAAGAGUUAGCAAACAGAACCUAUACAAACAACAGUUAAUGAACUACAACUACACAAACAAGACAUGGAUAAGACAAUCACAGUUAAUGAAGUUCAACUAUAAAGAAAACAAACAAAUAUAAAGAACUUGACAAACUAAUACCAACGUUCAGGUUAGCUUACAACCGGAACCAUAAAGUACCAAUGCUCAGAACUUAUUUCUUAAACAAAACAAGCAGAGUUAAUGAACGUGUCAAACUAUAAACAAACUUAAACAUAUGCAAACUGAUACAAAGAUGGAAGACAAACUUAAACAAACCAAAACUGAUCCAAAUGUAAUCGUGAGAUUAACUGAAACAUCAAUGGAGUUUUAUGUCGAGCAUGAAUUCUCCUCUUGUCUAUCUUGUCGAAUUACAACUCAAUACAAGAACAGACAAAACAAAAACAAAAUUCCACAUUGAGGCGAUAUCAAAGCCAAAGUCGAAGACCAUAUCAUCCUAGACUAAAUCGGCAUAGAUAUCCAAUCACAACCUAAACCCGAUAAAUCUACACCCUUUUAUUAAACCAUUUC
This 2414-nucleotide long non-coding RNA is filed under the name Eutrema salsugineum. RNAcentral's name for it is "long non-coding RNA (ESAL_LNC001130)". Lineage: Eukaryota; Viridiplantae; Streptophyta; Magnoliopsida; Brassicales; Brassicaceae. The record is from RNAcentral.